GGGCACGUAGCUCAGUCGGUUAGAGCGCCUGCUUCACACGCAGGAGGUCCCCAGUUCGAGUCUGGGCGUGCCCACCA
Molecule: transfer RNA, 77 nt
Filed under: Bryobacterales bacterium
Lineage: Bacteria; Pseudomonadati; Acidobacteriota; Terriglobia; Bryobacterales
Also listed under: 1 other name
Description: tRNA-Val
Rfam family: tRNA
About the family: Transfer RNA (tRNA) molecules are approximately 80 nucleotides in length. Their secondary structure includes four short double-helical elements and three loops (D, anti-codon, and T loops).
Source: RNAcentral